Molecule: non-coding RNA, 98 nt
Filed under: Halanaerobium congolense
Lineage: Bacteria; Bacillati; Bacillota; Clostridia; Halanaerobiales; Halanaerobiaceae
Source: RNAcentral
GAGAGCCACAUACUUUGAAAGGAGUACGUGUGGUUCGGAGGGGGGUUCACUGAAAACCUGCUUUAGAGAUAAAGUAAGGCGUUGGGUUCCUACCCUAC